This 4804-nucleotide long non-coding RNA is filed under the name Salmo salar (Atlantic salmon). Its description in RNAcentral is "lncRNA (ENSSSAG00000102740.1)". Lineage: Eukaryota; Metazoa; Chordata; Actinopteri; Salmoniformes; Salmonidae. The record is from RNAcentral.
UCUGGGUAGCCAUUACAAAAACUACAAUUUUUUAAUUUUUUUGUUAUUUAUUUUUUACUUCUUCAUAUAGUGGUUGGCAGGAUAAUAUGUAUGAAUCAUUUAAAAAUAAACUUUCUUAAUUGUGUUAAGUAGGUAUGUGGCAACAUCCAAACUUUUUUCCAACAGAUAUUAUCAAUAAAACCAUUCCAGUAAGUUUCCUGUUGAAACCUUGCUCGUAUAGCUCUAUUGUUGUUGAAUGGACUAAAAGAAAAACAAAUCUUUCCUACUGAUGAGUCAACAGGGUUAAUUGUAGGUAUGUUCUGAGGGUCAGGGCCCUGUUUCAGAAAGCGGAAACUCUGGUUGAAGGAAACUCUGGGUUUUCGGUUUGACAAAGCCAGUUCAGUUGAACUCUGAGUCAGUUACUAUGGCAACAUACUGCCAGCGAGCAGAUCUUCAACUAACCCGGAGUUUCUUCUCUUUAGCUGAAGCCUGCAGACUGAAGGUGUCAGACAUGGCAUGUCCUUUUUUUGAAGAGCCAGUUGAUAGUGAAGCACAAAUAAUCCACAGAAAUCGGUCGGGAGAGGGAUCAGACCCCGCUUGGAUGUUUUAUCAUUCCCUGAUGAUUAUGUUUGUGCAGAAAAACAGAAACGCUCAAUCGAUCAUUCAUCUGAACAAUAUCCUCAGCCCUCAUUUCGUUCAUAUGACACAUCGUGGAAAUGCUCUCAGUUCGGAAUAAAAUAAUUUGUUGCACUUUGUUUUUUUGCCAACGGGAGUUUUCUAUAUAUCAUCAGUGACGCUGAGCAUAUAUCCAAGGCAACCGUCUGUCGGGCUGUCAGAAAUAUGACUCCUGCACUGAAACGUUUAGUGUACACUUUUGUGGCGUUCUCAAGUCACAGACUCACAAGACUCAAAGAAGAAUGCCACAGAAUUGCAGGCAGAGCAGGCAACAGAUGGCACACAGACAGCAGAGUUGGGGACAGAUAUGCAGGGACAGACUGGCAGAGACAGGGAGUCUCAGAUUCGAGUUUGGGAAACCCUGCUCUAUGUGACUGGAGCCAUGCAUCAGGUGCCAGGUGUGCAGGAGCUCUUCGCCUGAUCAGCAUCCUUGACCUCAUCAACCAGUAAACUUGAGUUUACCCAUUGCGGUUUACCGUAGCAUUUGUAGCAGAAGAAGCAGUGGAAAUGCUGAAGACCUUUUUAUAAACAUAAGAACCCAAAUGCCCCCAAGACAAGGAGUGAGAUACUGUUGAUGUCCAGCAGGGGGCAAUAUUAGUUAAGUAAUGAGGUGAGGAGCAGAGAACGAUCAUGAGGCAAAGGGAGUAGCUAACAAAGGGUUCUCCUGAAACAGACUUGGAACACAACAAUGGGUCCUAUGGAUUUUUGUCUGACAAAGAAAUUAAAUGGACUUUUUCAUAUUUUCACGUAUUCGCUCAGCCUUUUGCAUCAGCACUCAUUUUUAUUUUCAUAUUAUUGAUAGUGUUUUAUACCCUUACAGCAUAGUUUGGAUGGACAGUGGACACUAUCCAGGGCCUGUAAAGUGGCUUGCUGCUAAAACAGCCUCUACUCUUCUGGGAAGGCUAGAUGUUGGAAUAUUUCUGUGGGGACUUCCAUUCAGCCACAAGAGCAUUAGUGAGUUCGGCCACUGAUGUUGGGCGAUUAGGCCUGGCUUGCAGUCUGCGUUCCAAUUCAUCCCAAAGGUGUUCGAUGGGGUUGAGGUCAGGGCUCUGUGCAGGCCAGUCAAGUUCCUCCACACCGAUUUCGACAACCCAUUUGUGUAUGGACCUUGCUUUGUGCACAGGGUCAUUGUCAUGCUGAAACAGGAAAGGGCCUUCCCCAAACUGUUACCACAAAGUUGGAAGCAUAGAAUCGUCUAGAAUGUCAUUGUAUGCUGUAGCAUUAAGAUUUCCCUUCACUGGAACUAGAGCCUAGCCCCAACCAUGAAAAACAGCCCCAGACCAUUAUUCCUCCUCCACCAAACUUUAUAGUUUGCACUUUGCAUUGGGGCACGUAGCGUUCUCCUGGCAUUCGCCAAACCCAGAUUCAUCCCUAUAUGCUGUCUUGUCAUUGUUGGUGAUCAGGCCUGCCACUGUUGUGUCAUCGGCAAAGGUAAUGAUGGUGUUGUGCCUGGCCGUGGAGUCAUGAGUGAACAGGGAGUACAGUAGGGGACUAAGCACGCACCCCUGAGGGGCCCCUGUGUUGAGGAUCAGGGUGGUGGAUGUGUUGUUACCUACCCUUACCACCUGGGAGCGGCCCGUCAGGAAGUCCAUGAUCCAGUUGCAGAGGGAGGUGUUUAGUCCCAGGGUCCUUUGCUUAGUAAUGAGCUUUGAGGGCACUAUGGUGUUGAAUGCUGAGCUGUUGUCAAGGAAUAGCAUUCUCAUGUAGGUGUUCCUUUUGUCCAGGUGUGAAAGGGCAGUGUGGAGUGCACUAGAGAUUGCAUCAUCUGUGGAUCUGUUGGGGCGGUAUGCACAUUGGAGUGGGUCUAGGGUUUCUGGGAUAAUGGUGUUUAUGUGAGCCAUUACCAGCCUUUCGAAGCACUUCAUGGCUACAGAUGUGAGUGCUUCGGGUCGGUAGUCAUUUAGGCAGGUUACGUUAGUGUUCUUGGGCACAGGGACUAUGGUGGUCUGUUUGAAACAUGUUGGUAUUACACUCAGACAGGGAGAGGUUGAAAAUGUAAUUGAAGACACUUGCCAGUUGGUCAGCGCAUGCUCGGAGUACACGUCCUGGUAAUCCGUCUGGCCCUGCGGUCUUGUGAAUGUUGACCUGUUUGAAGGUCUUACAUCGGCUGCGGAAACCGUGAUCACACAGUCGUCCGGAACAGCUGAUGCUCUCAUGCAUGUUUCAGUGUUACUUGCCUCGAAGCGAGCAUAGAAGUAAUUUAGCUCGUCUGGUAGGCUCGUGUCACUGGGCAGUUCUCGGCUGUGCUUCCCUUUGUAGUCUGUAAUAGUUUGCAAGCCCUGCCACAUCCGACGAGCUUCGGAGCCGGUGUAGUACGAUUCGAUCUUAGUCCUGCAUUGAUGCUUUGCCUGUUUGAUGGCUCGUCGGAGGGCAUAGCGGGAUUUCUUAUAAGCUUCUGGGUUAGAGUCCCGCUCCUUGGAAGCGGCAGCCCUACCCUUUAGCUCAGUGCGGAUGUUGCCUGUAAUCCACGGCUUCUGGUUGGGGCAUGUACGUACGGUCACUGGGGGACGAUGUCAUCAAUGCACUUAUUGAUGAAGCCAGUGACUGAUGUGGUGUACUCCUCAAUGCCAUUGGAUGAAUCCCGGAACAUAUUCCAGUCUGUGCUAGCAAAACAAUCCUGUAGCUUAGCAUCUGCUUCAUAUGACCACUUUUUUAUUGACCAAGUCACUGUGUAUUAAUUUGAGAGUGCUUUCAUUUCUCCAGCUCCAUCCCUCCGGUUUUUAGAUAAUUUGUCUUUGAGAGUUUAUUCUACAAACAGUGAUUAGGCCCUUACAUGCUGUCAUGUUAUUGAUCUUAAUCACGUAAUAAUAACCUCUCUCCAGUUCCCUCUGGUUUUGUGUCUUCUGGUUCAUUCCUUCAUAAAGGUUUUAAAUGUUUGAUGCUUGCAGUAGUGGCGUGUUAGAUGAGAGAUGUCAUGCCCUUGGCUACAUUCUGACCAUACAACCCCCCCUGAAGGUCACUCAUGUAGAGCUCUGCUGCUACGGCCAAAGAACCACUCAGGAUCCCUGCCUAAGACUGGCACAGUACACAUGCUCAGCCGCCUGCCCCCACACAUCCGUCAGAGAAACACACACACACACCUUGCCAAAGGAUCUGUACUCUGUAUUUUCUGUGCUUGGAGGGUGCAGGGGUUGAGUGCCACCACAGUGAGUACUUGGAGCCACUAUGCAGGGCUAUAUUUGGGCCUCCAUCUUGUGCCCGCUGAAUGAGCUGCUUGGUGUCACACUAUGAUUUUCCACCCACUGGGACCUGGAGAACAGAAAGGCUGCAUUUAAACUGCUUUUACUUCCACUAAUGUCAGUACGCGUUGAGCGGUAAUGUUAUUUGUGCUCAGACUCUCUGGCAUUUCCGCCUGCAAGUUUGUAGUUAUCAUACUUUUGAUUGGCUGUGACUAAGCCUUGCAUGUUGCUCAAGCUUCUCCUGCCUACCAAACACCGUUUACUUCCCAAUUACUAUGCUAAUGUAUGCCAGCAAAAAAUCCUUCAAAAUGCAUUCAAUUUGUCACCUCCACAUGGGGGACCGGCAGUGUUAAUGAGAAGACUAUGAAGUGUCGUUCUCUCGUUAUCAAGCUGACAGAGAGCCUGUGACGGUGCACACACUCCACCAUGACAAAAAUGUAUACAAACAACUUACCCGGCAAAGAUGUCAUUAUCUAUCAGGAUGAAAAACCACAGUUGUCAAGAGCACCUAUUUCUGUUUCACUGCAAACGACUGUGUUUGCAGAGGAAUGGAUGAGAAGGGUUUAAUUUUUCCAUCUAAUUGAGCUGACGGCUACUAUUACAGGAACUGGCUGGUGGCAAACUUUUAGAGGUUUUAUUUUCUAAGAAGUGGGGAUAGCUAGAGAGGAGAUGCAGUAUAGUACACGGUUGUGUUUUGCAGUUUUGGCUCUACGUUUAAAACAUUUUAUAGGGUUGUAAUACAAUGACAGUCUGUUUAAAAAUGAUAAACAGCAGCUGAGAUCAUAUGACUGUCAAAACAAACUUACAGCCACUCAUAAAGAAUUUAUCCCAUUUAUCUAUUAUGCUACUGUGGUAUACUUUCAUUUAUAGGCUAACAUAUUAUUUCAUGAGACCUUCUGAGGUCUGUCUCCCAGAGUUACUAGCGACUUGGAAUAGCUGUGCUGUGAAUAAAAAGGCAUAUUAUGGGUACA